UGGGGAAUAUUGCACAAUGGGCGCAAGCCUGAUGCAGCCAUGCCGCGUGUGUGAAGAAGGCCUUCGGGUUGUAAAGCACUUUCAGCGGGGAGGAAGGCGUUAAGGUUAAUAACCUUGGCGAUUGACGUUACCCGCAGAAGAAGCACCGGCUAACUCCGUGCCAGCAGCCGCGGUAAUACGGAGGGUGCAAGCGUUAAUCGGAAUUACUGGGCGUAAAGCGCACGCAGGCGGUCUGUCAAGUCGGAUGUGAAAUCCCCGGGCUAAACCUGGGAACUGCAUUCGAAACUGGCAGGCUAGAGUCUUGUAGAGGGGGGUAGAAUUCCAGGUGUAGCGGUGAAAUGCGUAGAGAUCUGGAGGAAUACCGGUGGCGAAGGCGGCCCCCUGGACAAAGACUGACGCUAAGGUGCGAAAGCGUGGGGAGCAAACAGG
Molecule: ribosomal RNA, 429 nt
Filed under: Chloroflexota bacterium
Lineage: Bacteria; Bacillati; Chloroflexota
Description: Chloroflexi bacterium partial 16S ribosomal RNA
Rfam family: Bacterial small subunit ribosomal RNA
Source: RNAcentral